GUUAAUUUACUUGUCACAGCCUGAUCUUGCCAGAUCUCAGACUAAGCAGGGCUGGGCCUGGUUAGUACUUGGAUAGGAGACCAUUGGGAAUACGAGGAAGACA
RNAcentral lists this ribosomal RNA (103 nucleotides) under Periophthalmus magnuspinnatus. Lineage: Eukaryota; Metazoa; Chordata; Actinopteri; Gobiiformes; Gobiidae. The record is from RNAcentral.